RNAcentral lists this ribosomal RNA (258 nucleotides) under uncultured bacterium. RNAcentral describes it as "partial 16S ribosomal RNA". It matches the Rfam family "Bacterial small subunit ribosomal RNA", at positions 524 to 776 of the family's 1533-position model. The record is from RNAcentral.
UACGUAGGGUGCAAGCGUUUGUCCGGAAUUAUUGGGCGUAAAGAGCUCGUAGGCGGUCUGUCGCGUCGGCUGUGAAAACCCGGGGCUCAACCCCGGGCCUGCAGUCGAUACGGGCAGACUAGAGUGCGGUAGGGGAGACUGGAAUUCCUGGUGUAGCGGUGAAAUGCGCAGAUAUCAGGGAGGAACGACCGGUGGCGAAGGCGGGUCUCUAGUACGGUACUGACGCUGAGAACGCGGAAAGCGUGGGGAGCGAACAGG